Long non-coding RNA from Echinops telfairi (small Madagascar hedgehog), 307 nucleotides. RefSeq lists it as uncharacterized. Lineage: Eukaryota; Metazoa; Chordata; Mammalia; Afrosoricida; Tenrecidae. The record is from RefSeq and is a predicted model, not a curated record. The transcript has 2 exons.
AUCCAGCCGGGUUCGCGCGCAGUAUUUCCGCUUUCCCGCCUUGCUCCACCUGCGAUCUACAAGUUGAGCAAGGACUAAAGGUUCUGAGCUAUGAAAACAAGAUGAAGCCACCCACGACCACAGGAAAAGGCCAAAGGAAGGGGCAUAUCGGCAACUCACACACAGCCUCGCGGUUCAAGAACAAGAAUGAAAGCCGCAGACACAGGGCAAAAGGACGCAGACCACCGAAGACAUUUGUGAACAAAACGUGAAAAUGUUUGACUUUGCCAUUACGGAAAAUUGAAAUAAAUAAUUUCCCACCACCUUG